Molecule: ribosomal RNA, 501 nt
Filed under: uncultured bacterium
Lineage: Bacteria
Description: partial 16S ribosomal RNA
Rfam family: Bacterial small subunit ribosomal RNA
Source: RNAcentral
AUUGAACGCUGGCGGCAUGCCUUACACAUGCAAGUCGAACGGCAGCACGGGUGCUUGCACCUGGUGGCGAGUGGCGAACGGGUGAGUAAUACAUCGGAACGUACCUUAUCGUGGGGGAUAACGCAGCGAAAGCUGUGCUAAUACCGCAUACGCCCUGAGGGGGAAAGCGGGGGAUCGCAAGACCUCGCGCGAUUAGAGCGGCCGAUGCCUGAUUAGCUUGUUGGUGGGGUAAAAGCCCACCAAGGCGACGAUCAGUAGCUGGUCUGAGAGGACGAUCAGCCACACUGGGACUGAGACACGGCCCAGACUCCUACGGGAGGCAGCAGUGGGGAAUUUUGGACAAUGGGGGCAACCCUGAUCCAGCAAUGUCGCGUGAGUGAAGAAGGCCUUCGGGUUGUAAAGCUCUUUUGUCAGGGAAGAAACACCGGCUCUAACACAGUCCGGGAAUGACGGUACCUGGAGAAUAAGCACCGGCUAACUACGUGCCAGCCGCCGCGGUAA